UACAGAGGUCUCAAGCGUUGUUCGGAUUCAUUGGGCGUAAAGGGUGCGUAGGCGGCGCGGUAAGUCGGGUGUGAAAUCUCGGAGCUUAACUCCGAAACUGCAUUCGAUACUGCCGUGCUUGAGGACUGGAGAGGAGACUGGAAUUUACGGUGUAGCGGUGAAAUGCGUAGAUAUCGUAAGGAAGACCAGUGGCGAAGGCGGGUCUCUGGACCGCAACUGACGCUGAGGCGCGAAAGCGUGGGGAGCAAACAGG
This 253-nucleotide ribosomal RNA is filed under the name uncultured bacterium. RNAcentral describes it as "partial 16S ribosomal RNA". It matches the Rfam family "Bacterial small subunit ribosomal RNA", at positions 524 to 776 of the family's 1533-position model. The record is from RNAcentral.